CUUCCGAUCCUCUUCGAUCUCCUUUAAAUUUCUUAGGGUUCAAUCAAUCUUGAUUGAUCGUGGUUCCACCUGCAGGCUCCGGGUUCGUAUCAAAGUCGGCUUACCACCAUGGAUUCUUCAGUGCUUCCAUCAAGCUGCCCGACGAUGACACCGCCGGUGUCGUCGUCGCCUUCUAUGUAAGUUGCUUCUUGUCUCCAAAUUCCAUCGAUAUCUCGCUCUAGAUGCUUAUUAUGUGGUUGAUGUCAAAGAUUAACUGCAUGGGGCAUCAAGCAAAAGUUCAGGAAUGAACCACUUGCUUGCUCCUCGAUGUUAGUUUCUUAAUUUCUUCAUGCAUACAUAGUCCAAGGUUUUAUGUGGAAUUUGGGGAGGACUCUAGUCCUUAUGAAAACUAUAAAUUCUGUGUUUUUUUUUAAAAAAAUUCAAAAUAAAGACUUCUUCCAUCCAUAUACACAAAUUUCUAGAUUCCCCAAUAAAGAAAUAAAUGUGUAGACAAUAGUGUGUUGAUAUAGAUGUGCACACCCGGCCACUUAAUUGCUCGUCUUUCUUCCUUUCGGUCUGCCCAUGAAUGAAUUGAUCAUCAUAUCAGCCAUAGAAUUUGGCCAUGGCACGAAGCGUGCGCCGUGCCUACACAAGUUGGUUACUGGAAAGUACCCUAGCUAGAACGCAUGGAAAGAAAAGAGUGGUUGCAAAAAACCUACCCAGUUGUUUUUUUUUUCUUUCGUUUUUUUUGUGACAACCCAAAAGGUCUAUCCACGCCUACCUUUUAGAAGUUUCCUAUACGCACGGUCCUAACGAGAAAUGCUUGACAUCCUUUUCAUUUCGUUCUCUCGAAGCAUUGGACUAGACCUUCUCGACCUUAAUCCCUUUUUUCCUUUAUACAUAUGCUUUCUCUGUCCUUAACAACUUCAAUUCCUAGAAUCGGUGUUAGUCAAAAUUUUUUAAGUUUGACCAACUUUAUAGAAAAGAGUAUCAAUAUCUAUGACAUAAAAUGAGUAUCUUAUAAAAAAUAUAUUCUAUAAUAAAUCUAAUGGUACUAAUUUGGUGUCAUAAAUCUUAGUGUUUUUUUAGAAAUUUAAUUAAAUUUAAAAUUUUUGACUUAAGAUAAUUCUAGAAAAGCUUUAAGAGCCAAAAUGAGUACACACGACGGACCCACAAAUCUGCUAAAACCCGGGCUGAACCAUGUAAUAGAUGACUAAAUUAUUUUUCCCUUUAAUUUUUAUAGCUGAUGAAGUAAGUUUAUAUAGAGUUUUAUAGCCAAGGGUCAGGGCUAUAACACGGAUAGUCCUUCCCCGAGAAGCCAUUUUUUUCUAGCUUUCCUAGCUUCCAAUUUAACUUUUUAGAGCAGAAAGGUUAAAGAAGAUGGAUAACUGACUUGUUACUACAGCGUACUCCCUCUGUCCCGAAAAAUAAGUGACGUCUUUUACUUACAUUUGUGUUGACUGUUUGUCUUUUUCAAAAAAUUUAAAUGAAUUAUAAAAUAAAUAAAUUAUUAUUAAAGUAUAUCUAAUAAUAAAAUAAGUCAAAAAAUAGAUAAUAUUUAUACAAAAUGUUAAAUGAAACAAACUGUAAAACAAGAUGUCUAGAAGUAAAAAAAGUGACUUAUUUUAGGAUGAAGAGAGUAUAAUAUUUUUUUUCUUAGAAAACAAAGCCGUUUUAUAUGAAGAGAAAGUCCUCGCAUACUCUUUAUUUUGAUACUGUUGCCCCACCUGCCCACCCGGCAAGAUGGAUGUAACGGAUUGGCCAUUAUCUGUAUGUCGACGUGUCAUGUAUCUUAUUUCCUCUUAGCUUUAAUUUGGUACUCCUAGCUCCUAAACUACAAGUGCUUCGCUGCCUUGUAUGGCUCAUUAGUGGUCGAUGGUUAGUUAUGAGUAGUGGUUGCAGAUCGAAAGCAAAAGCAUCCAUUAAAGAUGACGGCCAUUACAUUUGCUAGCUAGCUUAACUGUAGUAGGCGUGGUGGACAUGGUAGGAGGCAUGUACCUGUCACGCACUAACGGUCUCACGCAUGUACAUUACCUUGAGACAGAACAAAGACGAAAUGGCCGGCGCUUACAAAAUUUCUAGCCGCGCAUCGCAUCAUUAUCAUCGUUCUUAAAGCUACGAGACACGUGUCAAGUCUUGCUGAUGCACUAAGGACAUGCUCAAUGCAAAUUACAAAUAGCUAGUUAUUUGUGUGAGAACAUUCUAGAUUAACUAUUUAAAAGUCGCUACCUAUUUAAUCUCUCUCUUUGAUAAAGUUCUUGUUAGACUAGCUAUUUGGAAACUAUUGAAGACAGUAGGCAAGUUUCUCAUUGUUUUUCUUUUUUUACUAGUGCAGACAUAAUCCUGGAUAUGCUUUGUGUUUCUUUGUCAUUGAUUCAGUCUUAACAAGCUUUCUUAGUUGGUUUAAAAACUCCUUUCGUUUCAAAAUUGUAAUCAUGUUUUAACUUUUCUAAUAGAUACAUCUUUUACUAUGGCCCUGUUUGGUUCCACCAACUAAAUUUUAGCUAGCUAAAAUUAUUUUAGCUACUCUUGGGUGACUAAUGGAACUAAACUAUUUUAGCUUCUUUUAGUCAAUGUGUUUGGAACUUUAGCUACUAAGAGCAUCUCCAAGAGAUUAGCUAAAUCAUUUUCUAAAGGACAAUUUAGCUGUUGUUAAAGGAAAAACGUUUCCAACAGACUCUGUAAAUGACUCUUCAAAUUUAGUAGCUCUCUAUCCCACCUUAUUUGCUCUCUACUUUUGGAUAGCCUACCUCACUAACCAUCCUUUUACAGAGUCUGUUGGAGUACUCUAAUAUUUUUUGUCAAAUCUAUUUUAGAGAGUAGCUAAAUCAGUAAAUUUGGCUAGUGUUUUUGGCUAAUCUCUUGGAGAUGCUCUAAAGUGACUAAAAUUUAGCUAGCUAAAAUUUAGUUGGUGGAACCAAACAGGGCCUAUGUAUCUACAAGGUCAAAAGUGUAUUUAAGAGGUAGUCAGGCACACCAACGAUGGAAAACCCCUCUAUGACGAACCAAAUAAUUAUUCAAAUUAUUUCUCCAUGAAUUUUCCACCGUGGGAUAAAGUCAGGGAUCCCAAGAGUAUGUGAGCAUCCAAAAUAGCCAAACGUAAUAACAAACUACAAUAAUAGCUACUUGCGUUAUACAUAUAAAGUACUAUAGAAAUCAUAUUUUUAAUAAACUUUUACUACUAAAUAUAGCCGCACUGUUUUUCCUGUUGCAUAUGUAAAACAAGCGGUAUAAAAAACAUACUUAAACCUACUUUUACAUAUGUAUUAUUUUUUAUAGCUUCAAUAAACAUAACACUAUUAAUUUUAAUGUAAUACCAAAACACCUAUUAUGGAUCUAAGAGUUUUAUGUAUGAUUUAUGUUAUAAAACAUAGUAAAAGAUAUGUACAUAGAAAAUGCCAGAAUUCCAAUUUAUAACUGAGGGAUGGAAUAGUAUUUAGUAAUCUUUUCCUUAUAUGUUGUUUUUAGCAUUUUUUUUAGAUAUAUAGUUUUUUUCGAUCUUAUAUGCAUCUAAUGUAUACUUUAGUAAAAAUAUUUAUAUAAAAAUUAGGGCUAAAACGAUCUCACCGAUCGAAGUAAUACUAAUACAGUAGCUUGAUUUGAUUUAACUAAUAAAUUGUGGGUGUGCUGUGCAUUAAUUCAUCAGCUGUCGAACGCCGACGUGUUCCCCGGCAACCACGACGAGGUGGACUUCGAGCUACUGGGCAACCGCCGUGGCCACGAGUGGCGCGUGCAGACCAACAUCUACGGCAACGGCAGCACCUCCCGCGGCCGCGAGGAGCGGUACCUCCUCCCCUUCGACCCCACCCUCCGGCCGCACGCCUACGCCGUCGCCUGGACCCCCACGGCCAUCCUCUUCUACGUCGACGGGACGCCCAUCCGCGAGGUGGUCCGCGUUCCGGCCAUGGGCGGCGACUUCCCGUCCAAGCCCAUGUCCGUGUACGCCACCAUCUGGGACGGCUCCGCCUGGGCCACCGAGGGCGGACGCUACAAGGUCGACUACGCCUUCGCGCCCUUCGCCGCCGACUUCUCCUCGCUCGUCCUCAGCGGCUGCGGCCCCGUCGCCGCCGCCGACGACGACGACGACGCCGAGUGCCAGGUCGCCGCGAUGACGGCGGACUGCGCCGUCAUGACCCCCGCCAAGCGCGCCGCCAUGCGGCGCUUCCGCCGGCGGUACCUCCUCUACACGGUGUGCCACGACAUGUACCGCUACAACGGCACCGUCUUCCCCGAGUGCGACGCCGACGACUCGGAACGCCACGACUUCCACAGGUGGGGCGAGUCCAAGCGCGUGUCGCCCAGCAGCCGCGGGUACAAGCAGCCGCGCGCGGACAAGGCCGCCGCCGUCGACGUCGCCGUCGCCGCGCCUGGACGGCCCGACACGUGGCCGGUCAUUGGAACGUUACGUGUCGACUAAUAAUUGGGUUUAUACUACACGAGUAGAGAUACGUCCAGGAUACAAAUCUCAUAUAGCUAGGUACAGUUACAUGGUGCUACUCCAUGGACACACAUAGGGCCUGUUUGGAUCGUAGGAUUUGUAAAGGAAAAGUACAGGAAUCAAGAUUCCUCUAUUUUAUGCACUGUUCAUGCGUUUGGAACACAGGAUUGAGUAUAUCCUUUCCUAUGGAAAGUUUCCUUCACCCAUGCAUUUUGAAGGAAUCAAAACAUCCAGUCUAGGCCAUUGGAAAUUUUCCUGCGACAAUGAUACGCAUCUGUCUAAGCUCGAACACUAUUGCCAUGCAUCAGUGACAAAAGGAACAGGACACAAGAGCCGAGGAAACAUUUUUUAUCUAUUCACGUCACUUGUGUUCUUGCCAUGCACCAACUCCAGAACUUUGAUCUACGAUCUACGCUUCAGACCUCCAUUGUUGAGUUAAUGACCUACCAAAGCUAAUCUCAAGCUACCAAGUUUAGCAAGACAGGCACAUCAUUAGUCCAAAUAAAAUGAUAUUCUUAUGCUACCUUAUUCCUGCAUUCCAAACACUCAUUACUGUAAAAUUCCUGUGUUUUUCAAUUCCUCUGUUUUACCACCACAUUCCUUUCCUAAUCCUGUAUUUUCUCCUAUUCCUACAUUUUUUAUUCCUCCGUUCCAAACAGGCCCGACAUAGAUAGAGAUUCCAUAUAUAUGUACACUUUACUUUUUUUUAAGUCUAAUAAUAUAUAGUAUCUUCUAAUUUUAUUUGUACUAGCAGUGUCCGUAGUCAGGCAGUGCAAUGCAACAAAGCUGCUAAGUUCAUAGCAACAUCAGUUAAUUAGAUUAUGUUUGGCAUAGCUUAGCUUCGCUAGUGAAACUAUUUGUUUGGUUUCAACUUAAUUGGUAAAAACAGAGCUAUGUUCGUGAUUCCAUUUAGCAAAACAACUUUACAUAGUAGACAUCGGGGUUGAUUAAAAGCCACUGGAUUCUGCAAUGAGAAAAUUCCAAGCAUCGGUGGUUCCUCGGCGUGAUGACACGCGUCUUCAUAACUUUUACAGAAAGACCCUUUGUCUUUAAGGUAACUAACCCGCGGUCCAACAUGUCGUUUCUACACAGCAAUCAGGUUUGGAUAUUUUAUGUACGGGACCUUUUGUAACUUUUAUUUCAACACAAAGAAGAAAAUUUGGCAACCUCACCGUUUUGCAAACCACCCCCUGAAAGCAACAAGGAGAGCCCCUACAGCCAACCCUACCGCAGUUUUGUUUCUCGGUCUCUCUCCCCUCUCCCCAUCCUUACCGCCGCCGCCACCUCUCCCCUCCAUGCCCUCUCCUCCGCACGCCGCCUCCAUGGCUCUCCCCUCCCUGCCCUCUCCUCCCCGAGUUGCCUCCAAGCUGGCAUGAGCAUACCUCCUUUGCGUGACGACUUGACGAGCAGCGGUCCCCGUCCUUACCGCCGCCGCCACCUCUCCCCUCCAUGCCCUCUCCUCCGCACGCCGCCUCCAUGGCUCUCCCCUCCCUGCCCUCUCCUCCCCGAGUUGCCUCCAAGCCGGCAUGAGCAGACCUCCUUUGCGUGACGACUUGACGAGCAGCGGGGGAAAAUCGGAGAGGAGGAGGUGUCCACGGAUACCGCGUGCGGAGGACCGGAGGAUGCUUCCUUACUCCCGAAGAUCCCCAUGCUCUCCGGAUCUGAGCUCACAUCAAACAGAUCCAGCCUCGACGACCAUCGAUCUGGCUGGCCUGUAGAAGCCCGUGGUGUGCGCGCAGCAAGCUCCACGAAGCAAGUGAGUGGGGGCUGAGCUCGAGCUCCUGGAUUCACCUUUCUUCUAUAUUUCUUUUUUAUGUGUACACUGGGAUCUAUGGCAGCUAGAUGUUUACCUUGCUUCUACUAAUAUUUUUUUCAUAUGCAUAUAGAGCUCUGGCCAGGUAAUAUUCGAUCUUGACCAUGUACCAUGUUGUACUGAAAUUGAUAAUUUAUUAAUUCCUCCUAAUAUUAUUUGUAUUAGGAAGUUAAGAAUAAUUUUAUAUGAAUGGAUACAAACAAAAAUUUCAAAUGACAAGAUGAUUAGGUGAAAAGAACCCAUUUUUACUAAAAAUUUCACACGUUCAGCGAAGAUAUGGUGGUAAUUUUUCUAGGAUAAUUGGAUAUUUAUAGUUAAGAUUAGCCAUCCCCAUUGUGACACAUUACCUCUAUUGAUUAAAAUCCUGUUUUUGUAUUGGAUGUUGAUGAUUGUUUACUUUGCAGAAUCAUCAAGGCAACCUAGGAGGCAUCUCCUUCAGAGCUGUUAGAGUGUGUUUGUUAGUUCAAGAAGGUAGCAGCUUUCACAGAGAUUGUUCUCUUCUCUAGCAAGAAAGCUGGAUGUGCUGUUACUCAGCUCAUCUUGUGAAGCAUACUUAUAUUAUUAAAUUGUUAUUAAAUGAGCUUUUCAGUGGAUGAAUUCUUUGGUUAACAUUAGUAUGGUUUUGAUUGUUAGGAACACAAUCUAAACCAUGUAAUAUUUUUUAUUUUAGCAACAUAUAUUUGUCUUUCUCAAAUCAGUACAUAGAUUACAGUUUCAUCUAAUGGUUGCAUAGUUGCAUUUUGAUUAAAGUUAAACAUGGACCAGUUAUACAUACUUUUCUACUAACUAAUAAACACAACAAAUGAUUUGAAUAACUAAACUAAGGCCGCCAGUCAAAUAACAAGAAUGGAGCCACAAAAUUUAUUGUUCUUUUAAAUAAUAAAUAUCCAGUAUCGGGCUUUGUAAUAGUUUUCCUCCCGAUUUAAGCUGAACAUAGUUGCAUGCAUCUGAAUCGGCUUGGCUUGCUGCUAUGGGUUAGUCUGAUUAGGUAUCUUGAUCAUGGUCAUGUGUUAUAUGUAUUGUAAAUACAUGAGUUUGGUAAAUUUCAGGGCACUCCUAGCUGCAGAAAAAGAAUAUGUUUUUGCAUUGCGCUACUAGCCAAAGACGAGGUUGGUCUCUUUGCUUCAUAGAGCUUUUUUUUGCUCUUGUAGUGUUGUCUAUUUGGAGUAGAAUGAACCUGAAGUUAUAGCCUUUUUCCUCGUGAAGUUCAGAAUGUUCAGCUUGGCUUGCUAUUUUUGGUCAGUGCCAUAUAAUUUUGACUAUAUUUUCUUUUGUCAAAAAGAUCUGUCAGUAGAACAUCAUUAGUUUCUGCACAUAUCCUUGCACAUGUUUCCACCCAUUUGAACCAAAGUUAGUUGUGGUCUUGGUUAGGAUAGUAUGACAUAAAUCUCUUAGCACAUGUUUCCACCCGUUUGAACCAAAGUUGGUUGUGAUCUUGGUUAGGAUAUAGUAUGACUUAAAUCUCUAAUGCUAUUGAACCAACGAUGCAUCAUGAUUGUAUAUACUUCAGUAAUCAGAUUAUGUAUCUUGAUCUUGGACAUAUACUUUACAUGUCCUUAAUGAGCUUGAUAGUUUCCAUGAUACUCCUAGCUGCAGACAGAGGAUGUAUGGCCUCCAGGCUGUAUAGCCGCCAUAUGGGUCUCACUGAUGCUGUUUUUGUUCGCAAUAGAGUAGAGUGACCGUGCCUCCCAAUUCUACUAGAACAAGAGGCAUCAUUUGAUCUAUGAAUUACCAGAAUGAGAUGGCUAUAGUGUAUGACCCUCAUGAUCUAUUUGUGACCUUCAUGUGUGAAAUUAAUGUGGUUGUUCUCACUAAUGAUGGCAUGUCCUUAUGUGUUGCUUAGUGGAGUAUUUGAGUUUGGAAAAUUUUGAUUCUAGGAAAGAAAGGUUUUCCUAUGUGUUCAAACCAGAUACAACAAAGCUUAUAUAUCAAAGUAAUGCUUAAAUCUUAAUGUUACUAUGUAACUAAAAAGUCAUACUUAUUAAGUAUUGACAAUAACUUUUGUUCUUAAAGUCAUUGUAGGGCGCCGGAAGGGCGCCAAAUGUUCUAGUGGAUUAUAAAGUGUCAAAAGCACCAUUGUUUUUUCUUCUUUCUUUCUUUCCUUCUUCUCCCUGUGCCUCUGUUCUUGAGAUGAAGGCUGCGCUCGUCCAUGCCGACGCUUGUGCCUGGGGAAAAUCCUGUAUAAGGCCUUGUUUAGUUCCUGAAGGAAAAAAUUAAAUCACACUGUAACACUUUCGUUUGUUUGUGGUAAUUAUUGUCUAAAUAUGGACUAACUAGGUUCAAAAAAUUCGUCUCGUCAAUUCCGACCAAACUGUGUAAUUAGUUUUUAUUUUUGUUUAUAUUUAAUACUCCAUGCAUGCAUUUAAAGAUUCGAUGUGACGGGGAAUCUUGAAAAAUUUUGGGUUUUUGGACGGGAGUAAACAAGGCCUAAAUCGACCCUAUAGCAAUGGAAAAAAAAAGAAUAUCGUGGCAACAACUACCAUUUGCCACAUUGUCACUUUCGUUGCGGGCCGUUAACAUAAAAACGAGUGGUGAAAGGUCUUUGUAACGGGUUUGCGUUUUGUUGAAAGUACCGUGCUAAUUGCAAUGUAAUUUUUGCCUUGAAAUUGAUUGGUGUUGCAACGGAUCGCAUAGUGGCAAUAUUGUAUAUUGCGACAGUAGAAGCAUUGCAACAAGCUUUUGUUUUUACCACACAUAUAUUUCGUGGCAGUAAAAGCUACUGUCAUGCAUAUAUAUCGUGGCAGUAGGAGUUAUUACCCCACACACACAUUGGUUUAUUGCAUUAGAUCAUUUCGCAACGCCAUUUGCUUAGUGGUAAUAUGCAUUGUAUAUCCAUUAAGUCUAAUUAAACCGGAUAAUCUUAUAAACUAUGGCAUGGGGGGUGUUUGGCACUGCUCUGCUCCACGUUUUUCAGCUCCGCUCCACGUUUUUUAGCCAAACGGUUUCAGCUUCACGCACUCAGUUCGAGAAAAAAAUGUGGAGUUGUGAGAGCACCUAAAGAGAUACUCCACAAACUCUAGUUUUUUGUGAAGCUGCUCCAUGGUGGAGUUUGUGGAGCAGUCCUAAACACCCCUAUAAUCUUGUAAAUAGCAUUCUAUUUAAACAAGAUAUAUAGACAUGAAACUGUGCAUAGUAUCUUUUUUAGCCUACAAACUAACAUUCAAAGAAUGGUGUAAAUCUAAGUUUAAAACAUCGCCUAAUCUUCAGACUACAACAGCAAAGACAAUCAAAUCUUAAUUCCAAUGGAUCAAUUUCACUUACCGUGCUUUUUCCCUUAUCGUGGACGGAACUAAUCACCGAGAGAGCGUCUCUUCACUUUACAACUGCUCUUUGUUUACUUCCCAAAAAAUUUUGCAAAAUUUUUUUUAGACGUGUGCAUAAAGUAUUAAAUAUAGACGAAAAUAAAACUAAUUGCAUAGUUUGGUCGAAAUUGAUGAGACAAAUCUUUUGAGCCUAGUUAGUGCAUGAGUCAAAUACAAACGAAAGUGCUACAGUACCUGAUUUGCAAAAAUUUUUGGAACUAAACAAGGCCCUGGGCCAUAAGCGCGUGGGCUUCUCAAGUCCUCAUCACGUGAACGGGCCCAAAAGGUCCAACAGCGGUAACUCUUCAGCGGUUCGGCCUUCACUCGUCCGCACUCCGCAGCGGUCUUCUUCCUCCGUCUGAGACUGCGCUCGCACAAAAACCAGAGCUGCAGAGGUCGACCAUGGCUGCCAGGUCUGGGCGCGUCGGGAGAGGGGACGGGGUCUCGCCGGAGGAGAGGCCGCCAUACCUCGCCAUGUUGGUGGAUCCUCCCCUGCCCCUCCUUGCCCUCACCCGCCAAGGCUUCCGACCCCGCCCACGGCUCGCAAUCGCACCCUCGACGAAGUUCCUGCUGGGGUCGACGCCGCCCACCCCUGCCGGAGCCGCGGCCGCCCACUCCUGCCGAAGAUCUCAGAUGCGAGGUAGAAAAAAAGGUAAUCGCUCGACCUAGCAAGCUUGAUCCUUACUCAUCGUAUAUAUGCAAUUAUGCAUAUAGCGAAAUAGGAUUGUCAUUUUAGCGAAGCCAUUUGUUUGGAGUCCCAUUAUAGCAAUUUUCUCACGGAAGGAAAUCGUAUAUGCUGUGGUUAAAUUAGAUAAAUCCGCGUCAUAGUGCCACCAGCCAAUAAGAAUUCAGUGUUUUCCUACACCAAUCCGCGGCACAUCCUAAUCAGAGCCGCCCGAUGAACGAUCAUGCAGGAACCGACCUGAGUCCGUCGUGCGUCUCUCGCGUACGUGCCUAUAUAAAUAGCGCCCCCUUCCCCCCGGCAAAUUACAUCACGGGCUCACGAGGCUGAAGAGGGACCUAUAGCUCUACGACUACAAGGGCAUCAUCAGUAGCGUAGCAGUUGCUAGCAGACACCAUCUGUGAGAGGUAACUAAAUAGACCCAUCCCCUUCGUGUUAACUUAUUCUACUGAUUACUACUUUGAUCCAUCUUCUUCAUUCGUGUUUGCUUAUUCUACUUAUUAAUUACUAGCUGUGCUUGGACGACCUUGGUUGUUGCUAUUAUAACGAGUAUAUAUGUGUUUCUAGGGUUUUAUGGUGUGAAAUUAUGGAUUGCAAACUCUAAUAUGAUUACGCUAGAGAGUAAUCUAUAUAUCCCCACUCUGCUCAGGGUUAUUUAUUCAUCAUUUUUUGUUGUUGAUAAAUUUCGUUGCAUGAGUACCAAGUGCACAUGAUUUUGUUUGCACUUUUCAGUUCUGUUCUCUUGACCCUGUAUCUGUAUAUACAUGUUUCUGUGUACUGUUAUACCCUGAUAUUGUAACAGAGGAGACGGCAACUCAAUAAUAAUUAGUGUUCCUUUAGUAUUCAGGUGAUGAAUAAUUAGGUUUCUGCUCAAUAAUGCUCGAAACAUCAUGCUGAUUGGCCUUUAUUUGCACUGUGUAGUUCCCACAUCUCAAUUCAUACAUCUGUCUUUAUCUGCAUAGGUGUUCUCAAUUUAUUUUUCCUAUACUAUUACAUUACAUGACUCAGUUAAUGCUAGUGUGUGACAGUAUGUAGUUCUGUGCACAUUUCAAUUUGAUGCAGGAUACUUCUGUCAAUAUAUGAUACAUACUUAUUUACAUUCCUCGGGUUUUAUCUUUUACAUGAUCGGUCAUCAAUUACAAGAUGGCUCGUACUAAGUGCACGGCGCGUAAGUCGACUGGGGGAAAGGCACCAAGGAAGCAACUCGUUCGAAAUAUCUUUGUAUGUAUAAUAUAUGUAAAAUUUGCAUGAGAAGUAUCAUCAGUACUUGCGUGUCGAAACUUGUUCUAACAUUAGUAUGGCUUGGUGAUCAUUUACAGGCUGCUGCUCGCAAGACGCCAAUGACCGGAGGAGUGAAGAAACCUCGCCGUUACCGCCCUGGAACCGUAGCUCUUCGGUACGUGCACGUGCAACACAGCUGGCUGAUUUUGUUUUAUUUAUGUUUGCCAAUCAAUACGAUUGUACGGCUGUAAUUUUCAUGCAAGUAAUCGUGUCAUAACUCAUCACAACUGAAUCUGAACCUCGCAUUUAUUUUCUUCCAGUGAAAUCCGCAAGUAUCAGAAGGGCGCCGAGCUGCUCAUCAGGAAGAUGCCCUUCCAGAGGGUCGUCAGGGAGAUUGCCCAGCUUCACAAGGUACGGUCGUUGCCAAUUUGAUCACCACAUGCAGGAUCGAUCUGCAAUUUGUCCUUGGGUUUUUCUUUCGAAACAUUUGUAAUAUCUGAAUGCAACUUCAUGUAUAUGCAUUGCAGAGUGACCUGCGUUUCCAGAGCCAUGCGAUCCUUGCUCUGCAGGAGGCAGCAGAGGCCUAUCUCGUGGGUCUCUUCGAGGACACCAACCUGUGUGCCAUCCAUGCCAAGCGGGUCACCAUCAUGCCCAAAGAUGUUCAUCUGGCUACCAGGAUCCGUGGCGAGAGGCACUAAUCGUAUCGCGUCGUGAAUAAGUGGAGGCGCCGACAAUCUGCUGGCUGCUGCAUACUAGUAGUAGUUCAUUUGGGAAUUCCUGGUCUGGACUUUGUCGGGAAGCAAGUGUUACCUUAAGUUCGAGUCAAAAAUUCUACAUGUCGAAUAACUAGCCAGACAGCCAGUUAGUGGGUAGCCUCCUCCGCUAGGUUUUCUUUUGCUGGUGUAAGACACAAGUUCUACGUAACUGAAGUUAUGUCAGACACAUUUUUCUGCUUGUUUACCUGGCUGUUAUUUUUUUUUUUACGUAACUGCAGAUAUAUCAGUCACAAGUUUCUACUUGCUUUCCCGGAUGUUGAAUUUCUUUUGACCAAGUCGUGAUACAAGAAACAAUGUAUAGGCAAGGCCAGCUUUUGGAUCCAAAUGAAGAGAAAUCGCCACAUAAUGUUAUUUUUUUAGUUCAACACAUUGUUAAUUCUGCCUCCUCGUUUUCCUCCGUUGGGACCUAUAAUUUGAUUGUAAGCAAAUAGUUGUUUGAUUGAUAGCUUAAAUUGUGGUCCUUUUUUUUUUCUCUCCUGUUGUUCUAAGCCAUAAUUUCAUAGUCCUUCAUGUCGUGCUCGUGCAAUGCAUUUAUUUAUGAUAUUGUUGUGGCAGCCAAAUUGCAGAGACACCGCUUUCAUCAAUGGUUCCCUUGGGUGGCAAGUUCAGGCCUUCAAUUGUGUCCUGUUGUUCUAUUAUCUUGACUUCAAUUGUGGGCGUUCCAAGUUCUGAGAACCAUGUUUCAAAAAAAAAAAAGUUCUGAGAACCAUGCACACAAAGGAAAGGCCAGUACCCAGUAGAAGCAGCCCUGCCCACAAGAGCAAGACGGGCGAUGCCGGCCCAACCCAACCCAACCCAGCAGCAACAAACCACGCAACGGCUAGUACGGAGGGAGUGGGGGCAAGCAGAAGCAGCGCCGUUCCGCCUUCGCCGUCUCCUCGUCAACGGUCAUAUUACCGUUGUCCUGCCACAAUCCCCACACUUUAAAACUGCCACCCCAAGCGCUCCCCCUCCCGCCGCCGUCUCCACCCCCGAUUCCCCGUCUCUCCGGCUCCCUCGCCCUCACACGCCGUCUCUUUCCUCGAGCCUCCGCUCCGCUAGCGACGCCGACGCGCGCCUCUCUCACCCGCGUCGACGAGAAAGCACCCACCGAUGGAGACGCCGCUGUCCACCAGGAGGAUCACCCGCUCGCUCGCCGCCGCCGCCGCCGCAUCCGCCCGUGAGUCCUCUUCUUCUUCUCCCAGCCACCUCGCCUCUCUGUUUCUUGAUCGCCGGUUCGAUUCUUCAGUCUCGACGUGUUUCUUGGAUGUGUUUCCUGACGACGCCCACCUUCGAUUCUUCUUCUCCGCAGAGAAGAGCGCCGCCGCCGCCGGGUCGGACUCCGCCGCCCUCUUCUCCCGGGCCAAGAAGACCGCCGCGGUGGAGACCCAGGCCCAGACGCGCGCCGCCCUGCACGACAUCAGCAACGACUCCCCCAUCGUCGGCCUCGCGGCGGGCGGCCUCCACGCCACCGACACCACCCCCGCCUCCACCGCCGCCAAGACCCGCCGCAGGGCCCCGCGCAGCACGCCCGGAUCCGGGGAGGCGCUCCUGCGCGGCCAGGUCAAGGCGCUCCUGCACAAGGUCGAUGAGGACCAGGGCUGCGCCGCCGCCGCCGCCCUCGUCAGGCCCGCGCGCAUCCAGGCGCUGCUCGGCGUCUCCAGGUCCCCGGCUCAGCUUCUUGCGCCCACCCCGGCCAACACGCCGCAGAUCGGCCCCGUCUCCGCGCCCAGGGAAGGCCUCCUCCAGCUUGAUGGCGCCGCCGCCGUGACCUGCGUCCUCGACGAAGAGGAACCGCUGAUUCCUAAGCUGAAGGUAAUGUAAUUGUUGAUUCUUGUCGAUUCAGCAAUGGAUGAUAUCUUCCUACUGUUCGAGGAGCAACAGUCUACAAUUCGACAUGCAUGGUAGAGUUUUGACCCCAAUUUUUCUGUUCUGAGUAGUGGAUUUCCAAUUUCAAUCAGGGAACGCAUGAUCUUCUUGUCAAUCUGAUGCAGAAGCUUGUGUACCAUUUCGUCUAGUAUCUUUAUUCGUUAACGUUCUUUGUGCACGUACAUGCUAGUUUAGGUGCAAUUCUGCACGAACUUUUGUAUGAUAAGUUUGAUUCAAUGGUUCUCUGUGUCGGCUGUCGUAGGUGUCAGCUUGUAAUCUUGAUAUAUGAUUCAAAUUUCUGUGUGUUUUCAUGCUGCAUUGUCUUGCACUGUUAGCUGCAUAUGGCCCGUUCUCAAAUCUCAAUGGAAUGCUAGCUCUUUCAGAACUGCAAAUUGAUGUAGUAUCGUCUAGUAGAGCAGCAAGUAGUAAUCUUGAUAUAUGAUUGAAUUUUCCUUCAGCUGGUUGUGCAGUCGCUACUGAAUUUGGUCCUAAGGUGCUUUGCUGCUCCCCUUGUUGUGCAGGUCAUUGCAGCUUCCCUGCCUCCACCUCAGGCAGAGGAGAAGCUGGGCGAGUGCCAGCUGAACCGUGCGCUGGUGUUCGACGACUCCCCUGAGAAGUCCGACGAGUCCAAUGGAUCAGCCGUCUCGUCGUCCGUCUCCCUCCAGGAGAGCAGCGCCGGCAGCUACAUGGACAAGUCAUCGUCACCUGACGACGACAGCUCCUCUGCUUGGUCCAUUCAGGUCCAUGCCAGCUCCGAGAAGGGCGACGAAGAAGAGCUUAGCGUGGAGGAGCUGGCGGCAGCAGAGUACACUGAAGAAGAAGAAGAAGAAGAAGAGGAGUACACUGAGGAGGAGGACUGGGAAGAAGACAGCGACGACGACUGCUACGACGACCUGUGCGAGGAGAUGAGCAGGAUGACCGUGUUGGACGAAGAAGAGAAGAAGGCCGCCGGGCUGCCGCAGUUCGAGGGGAAGCACACCAGGUUCAUCUACAACAGUGACGACGAGAUCGAGCGCGAGGAGGUGGCCGACGCAGCUGAGGCGACGGCGGAGCUUGGCGCGUUGAUGCUCAGGGGGCUGCCGGUGCCGAAGGGGAGGCACCUGCUCUUCCACGACGAGGAGGAUGACGAGGAAUAAGAAUGUCAGUUGUGUUCAGGUUAUUGGGUUGCAUGCAGUGGUUGUCUUUCCCUGACACCAGCCAAAUUGAUGCUCAGGGGGCUGCCGGUGCCGAAGGGGAGGCACCUGCUCUUCCACGACGAGGAGGAUGACGAGGAAUAAGAAUGUCAGUUGUGUUCAGGUUAUUGGGUUGCAUGCAGUGGUUGUCUUUCCCUGACACCAGCCAAAAUUCUUUUGGGGGCUUCCGGUUCUGUAUUUUGAAUUCAUGUCUCCG
RNAcentral lists this long non-coding RNA (15448 nucleotides) under Sorghum bicolor (sorghum). RNAcentral describes it as "long non-coding RNA (SBIC_LNC001339)". The record is from RNAcentral. Lineage: Eukaryota; Viridiplantae; Streptophyta; Magnoliopsida; Poales; Poaceae.